AUGUACCACAUGAGAAAGAAGCUUUUGCUGCUGCUGCUCUUGCAAAGGCGGCGGGAGCGCAGAAAGCGUCUGCGGCCUCUGCGGCGACGUUGGUGGGUCCGGCCAGUCUUUCAACUGCGUAAAGAAGAAGGACUUUACGGCUAUGCAACGGAUACGUCAGGAUGACCACGGAUUUUUCUACAAUUUCUUUCGCAAGGCGCCGCAGCUCUUGGGCAAGCUAGUGAGCUUUUUAGCAGAGGACCUCACACGGCAGCACCACAUUCGAGAAACCCCUGGAGCCUGGAGAACGACUUGCUGUAGCAUUGAGAAGCAAUGCUUCCUAACGUAUCCAGCCUACGACUGCCUGCUGAAGCCAGCGAUGCUUCUGACUGCGGACUGCUGUGGUGUGCCUCAGAAUCCUCAGGAACCAGAACUUCUUGAAACAUCGCUGAUUCAAGAGAUUCCAAAAUGUCCUGAGACUCCACAGACUCAUGCGACGCCGAAGACAGAGUCGAUGCUGGCGCUUGUGACUCUUCACUUGACGGUGAUGGCACUUCAAGUGUUGCCAGAUCGGAAAACUGGUACAUUUUUUGUUAAGAUGUCUGCAGCACUUCCC
Dermacentor andersoni is the source of this 595-nucleotide non-coding RNA. The record is from RefSeq and is a predicted model, not a curated record. Lineage: Eukaryota; Metazoa; Arthropoda; Arachnida; Ixodida; Ixodidae.